UGGGGAAUAUUGCACAAUGGGCGAAAGCCUGAUGCAGCGACGCCGCGUGAGUGAAGAAGUAUUUCGGUAUGUAAAGCUCUAUCAGCAGGGAAGAAAAUGACGGUACCUGACCAGAAGCCCCGGCUAACUACGUGCCAGCAGCCGCGGUAAUACGUAGGGGGCAAGCGUUAUCCGGAUUUACUGGGUGUAAAGGGAGCGUAGACGGCGAAGCAAGUCUGAAGUGAAAACCCAGGGCUCAACCCUGGGACUGCUUUGGAAACUGUUUUGCUAGAGUGUCGGAGAGGUAAGUGGAAUUCCUAGUGUAGCGGUGAAAUGCGUAGAUAUUAGGAGGAACACCAGUGGCGAAGGCGGCUUACUGGACGAUAACUGACGUUGAGGCUCGAAAGCGUGGGGAGCAAACAGG
Molecule: ribosomal RNA, 403 nt
Filed under: Fusobacteriota bacterium
Lineage: Bacteria; Fusobacteriati; Fusobacteriota
Description: Fusobacteria bacterium partial 16S ribosomal RNA
Rfam family: Bacterial small subunit ribosomal RNA
Source: RNAcentral